Molecule: long non-coding RNA, 375 nt
Organism: Carlito syrichta (Philippine tarsier)
Lineage: Eukaryota; Metazoa; Chordata; Mammalia; Primates; Tarsiidae
Exons: 2
Source: RefSeq, a predicted model, not a curated record
CAUUUCUCAGUUGCACGAAUGCAACACUUGACUUCUCUAUGCCUGUCUCUGAAAGUAGGGCAGUCAAGACACCCCCAUUAAAGGAAGAGCCAUUUGCAUGUGAUAGGUAAAAGGAUGAAUACAUUUUGUAGCUGUUUUAAUUACUGUCAUAUAUACUAUGAGAAACAGUAUGGUGUGGCAAUGAAGAAAAUGACCUCCUGAAACAGACAGCCUGGGUUUGAGUCCCAGCUCUGCUACUUAGUCGCUGUGUGACCUUGAACACGUCACUUUACCUUUCUGUGCCUUAGACAUCUCAUCUGCAAAAUGGAAAUACUAAUAACACUGGCUUCGUAUGUGUUGAGGAUAAAGUGAAUAAAUAUUCAUUUGCAACCUAAA